This is an RNA transcript of Mustela erminea (ermine), 4335 nucleotides long. It is a transcript of the gene named solute carrier family 25 member 14, with no coding region annotated. The transcript is spliced from 11 exons. The record is from RefSeq and is a predicted model, not a curated record. NCBI's taxonomy places the organism in Eukaryota, Metazoa, Chordata, Mammalia, Carnivora, Mustelidae.
GUGGUGACAAGGUAACCAGGCGACAUCUCUGCCCCCGACUGGCGAGUAUGUGAGCUGCAGAACCUGCCAAAUUCUCACGCCUUAGCUCUCUCUCCCUACACCUCCCAAAAGGCUUUGAGGAGGUGGUGUUGGAAUGCCUGUGCCACCGUUGCCGGGGCGACGACUUGGUUACUUCCGUUGGUCUCAAUGCUUCCGGGUUGGCAUUGCGGUGGCGUUUCCGACUGUGGGAGCCUCGGCUUCCCAGUCGUCCGAUGAGCCCGAGCAGCACCAGAAAAGUACCACUGUAAGCCAUGAGAUGUCUGGUCUGAAUUGGAAACCCUUUGUAUAUGGCGGCCUUGCCUCUAUUGUUGCUGAGUUUGGAACGUUCCCUGUGGACCUGACCAAAACACGACUUCAAGUUCAAGGCCAAAGCAUUGAUGUUCGCUUUAAAGAGAUAAAAUACCGGGGAAUGUUUCAUGCCUUGUUCCGCAUCUAUAAAGAAGAAGGUGUAUUGGCUCUGUAUUCUGGAAUUGCCCCUGCCUUACUAAGACAGGCAUCAUAUGGCACCAUUAAAAUUGGCAUUUACCAAAGCUUGAAGAGAUUAUUUGUAGAACGUUUAGAAGAUGAAACUCUUCUAAUUAAUAUGAUCUGUGGGGUAGUGUCAGGAGUGAUAUCUUCCACUAUAGCCAAUCCCACUGAUGUACUAAAGAUUCGAAUGCAAGCUCAGGGGAGCUUGUUCCAAGGCAGCAUGAUUGGCAGCUUCAUCGAUAUAUACCAACAAGAAGGUACCAGGGGUCUGUGGAGGGGUGUCGUCCCAACUGCUCAGCGGGCUGCCAUCGUUGUGGGCGUAGAGCUACCAGUCUAUGAUAUUACAAAGAAGCACUUAAUCUUGUCAGGGGUGAUGGGAGACACGAUUUUAACUCACUUUGUUUCCAGCUUUACAUGUGGGUUGGCUGGGGCUCUGGCUUCCAAUCCCGUUGAUGUGGUUCGAACUCGCAUGAUGAACCAGAGAGCAAUUGUGGGACAUGUGGACCUCUACAAGGGUACUUUGGAUGGAAUUUUAAAGGUUUGCCUAUUUUGGAUGUCUCAUAUAACUGGAAUCAUAGGAUAUGUGACCUUUUUGACUGGCUCCUUUCACUUAUUAUGUUUCAAGGUUCAUUCACGUGGUAGUGUUUAUCAUUGUGUUUUUCAUUUUUAUGCCUGGAUAAUCCUCCAUUGUAUGAUUAUAUCACAUUUAUUUACACUUGUUACAUUUUAUUGUAAUUGCUUUUAAUGUCUGUCUGUCCCCUAGACAAUAAGUUCCAUGAAGGCAGAGCUGUGUGCAUCUUAAUCACUUUAUCCCCAGCAAAUUAUUUAUUGAAUGGAUGCAAAACUUUACUAAGUAGUCUGUUGUCUCUGUCAUCUACAGAAUUUCUUGUUUGUUUUCAUACAACUGCCUGAAGCCCAAAAGUGGACCCUCCAGUCCUAAUGUUCUAAAGGAGUUGGUCACUGUUUUGGAGCAUUUUAAAGAUUCGUAUGGCUCAUGGGAGUGUUAGAGAUCCUCACUGUGUUUGUAUGUUCAUUUACUCAACAAAUACUCAUAUAGGUAUUUAUUAGAAAUUUUCUUGUGGUAGACAGUGUUAGGUGGUAGGGAUAUAAUAGUGAACAAGACAAACGUAGUUGCUCUUGUCCUGGGGACCAUAUUCUAGUUGAGGGAGAUAGAUAAUAAACACACAAAUAAUAAUAUAAUUUUGGGAAGAAGUAAAUGCUAUGAAGACAUUAACAGAGCAUGACACAGUGACUUGGUAAUGACGGUGGGGAACUUCUUCAGCUAGGCUAGCCAGGAAAAGGCUGGGAGGAGGUGACAUUUGAGCAGAGGUCUGAAUGAUGAGAAGAAGGUGGCCACAUGAAAAUCAGAGAGAGAAACAUUUCAUAAAGAGGGAACAGGUACAAAGGCUGAGUUGGGAAUGAACUGGAUAUAUUCAAGGGUUAAAAAGAAGGCCUGUGUGUCUGAGUGUGGUAAAGGGUUAAAAAGAAGGCUGGUGUGGCUGAGUGUGGUAAAUGAAAGAGAGAGUAGCAAGAAAUGAAACUGGAGAGACUGGCAGAGGCUGAAUCAUGUAGGAUGCUACAGGUCAUCAAAGAAAAUGUACAAUUAGAAUGAAAUCCACAGGGAAGCCAUUGAAGAGAAAGCAUCAGGCAGGAAAGUGACACUAUUUAUAAUUCAAUAUAUAAAUUAAUUAUAUUUAUUAUAUUGGAUUGUAUCUCUAAGGUCCCUUGCCAUUUUAGUAGUCUAAUUCUAGUUUAUCUUCAUCUGGGCUUUAUUUUGAAUGAAUUUGGCAAUUUCCAACGUUAAUUUUGGUCUAAGACCUUCAGCAUUUGCUGGUAAUCCAUUGGGGGGAGGCAUAUUACCACUCUGUUUCUAUCAAAAGUGCCCUUAUCCUCUUACUGUUGGCUCAAGAAAGUGGUUAAUAAAGAUGAUUAUCUUGAGUAUUCUUAAUCUAUAGGAUGAGAUAGGGGAUAUUUAUAAGUUUGGAUUCUCAUAUUAUUGUCUUAUCCAAAUAUAUCCAUUUCUUAGUAUAGUGGUGGAUUUUACUUCACCAGUAGAAGGGCAGAAUGACAUGUUCAGUGACGUAGUGCCUAACAUAUGGGAGUUACUUAAUAGAUAUUUCAGAAUUGUCCACUAAAUAGGAACUGUUUCUGUUGGAUGAAUUCAGCAUAAACCACCAGUUUAUGACCUUUGGUGUGCAUAAUUUGUCAUUUAAUUUUAACAACCGCUCAGUGGGUAUGUGUAGGGCUUCCCACUGUAUAAAACAGGAAACCUAAAGUCAAAGCAACUCGCAUUGUUCCUCCUGUAAUCCUGAAAGCAUUUACAUGAGGUGGUCCAUGUUUCUGAUGAAACCGAAGGAUAGUGACUUGCCCACCUCCCUAUUCCCUUACCCUACUUCCGUUUUCCUACUAGCAGUUAUCAUUUCUGAAUAUAAUAUACAUCAAUCUGUGCAUUUGUUUGUCAGCUCUGCUGGACUGUGCACUCCAUGAGGUCAGGGGCUGUAUAAGUUCUCUCUUCCUGUAUAACAUAUCACUCCAAAAGUUGGUGCCUUAAAAUAAUAAAUAUUUAUUAUCUCACAGUUCUGUGGGUCAGGAAUUCAGAAGCAACCUAGCUCAGUGGUUUCAGCUUAGAUUCUCUCAUGAGAUGGUAGUCAGAUGUCAAGCUAGGGCUGCAGCCAUCUGAAGCUGGGGUAUCUGCUUCAGAGAUCCCAUGUGGCUAUUAGCAGGAAGCUGUAUUUUUUUACCAUUUGGGCCUCUCCUCAUGGCUUUCUCUACUGUGAACAAUUUAAGAGAGAAAAAGAAGCAGAAGGCUUUUUGAUAUGCAACAUCUUUUUUACAACACAACACGGAGGUGACAGACUACUGCUGUAUUCUCUUGGUGACACAGACCUCUCCUGGGAUUUUGUGGGAGGGGGAACACAGGGGUGUGAAUAACUGGUGGUGGCUUCCACUGGGGUCAUCUUGGAGGCUGGCUACCACAGGUACUUCUCUGGUUUACUAUAAUAGUAAUAGUAAUAAUAAUAGUAAUAGUAAUAAUAUUGCUCAAAUAGUAAUGAUAGCAAACCAGAGAAGAGUAAAUAGUAAACAUCAAGAAAGAGGACCUUGUAUUUGGAAGGUGCUUAAAUCUUUGUUGAAUGAGUAAGUAGAUUUAGAGUAUAUAUGAAUUCAAAAUGUAUGUCUUUAGAAAAACAGCAUUCAUGGAGCUAUAAGUUGUUGGAGAGGGACAUGGGAAGGGAAUACUAAAAUAAAAGUAAUUGUCAGAUGUAAAUAGGGGAAUUCACUCUACUUUUUAUUAUAUCCCUCAGAUGUGGAAACAUGAGGGAUUUUUUGCACUCUAUAAAGGAUUUUGGCCAAACUGGCUUCGACUUGGACCCUGGAACAUCAUUUUUUUUAUUACAUACGAGCAGCUCAAGAGGCUUCAGAUCUAAGGACUGAAUUAAAUGUGAGCCAAGCCCUGCCAGCCUUUCUACUCUUUUCCCUUUUUCCGUGUUCUAAUGUAUUUUGACAAAGUUGUGUUUACUGAACCACUGGUCUCCUAGGAACCUCCUGGUGGAAGAACCAUAGGAUGGUUCAGAAUUGUUCAUGUGUUUGUGUUACCAUGUUAACUUUUCCCUGAGAGGAAGUGUUAACAUUGAGACUCUGGCCCCAGAUUGGUAUCUUCUGUGAAGAUGGAUACUGAUGGAUGACAUUCAACAUGGCCUUCUUUUCAAAUGUUGGUUAAAUGUAGUUGGUUAGCCCCAGACUUGGGCUAUAGCAGAAGGCAUAGGCCAGGGCAGUUACUGCUAUGUAUGUUUCAGACCUCGGUUCUCAUUAAAGUAUUUAUUGGCAGAA